UAGGUAGUCAAGAGUACUUCUAAUCCGGUCAUCGCUUUUAAGAUUAUCAGUAUUCACACAAGGGUGCAUCGAGGCCCUUCAGCAGGUGCUCGUGUGUAACCUUUACAUGACCAAUCCUCAGCCUGUGUGUUUUGACCAUAUCUGCUCUGGACAUAUGUUUAAUGUAAAACAUUCCCCUUACUUGCCGUUUUAUUGUGAUAUGUAAAUGCGUCCGUUUUUUCCAUCACGUCAACGUCUACUUGUGGAUGUUCAGAAGCUUCUCGUGCUGUUCUGUCUGCAAGGUCGUUGCCUGGUAUACCUGCGUGUCCUGGCACCCAAAUAAAUAUGAUGGAUACAUUUUUGUUGUUUAGGUUUAAUAGUUCUGAUUGGGCCAGUUUAGUUAAAGCAUUAUUGGAAUAAAUUUGUGUUAAGUCUGUUAAUGCAUUUAUAUUAUCGCUUGCAAUAAUAAAUCUUUGAGUUUCAGACAACGAGGAACAGUGCUGAAGAGCUUUCCAGAUGGCAUAUCUUUCUGCGAAUCCUAUAGUCGACUGCGGAUUUAAGGUCCAUUUAUUUGUUAUCUGCGAGGCGAUCGCACAUCCUACUCCAUUUCCAGAUUU
Molecule: long non-coding RNA, 596 nt
Organism: Photinus pyralis (common eastern firefly)
Lineage: Eukaryota; Metazoa; Arthropoda; Insecta; Coleoptera; Lampyridae
Exons: 3
Source: RefSeq, a predicted model, not a curated record